AUCAUGAGGUGAGCUGAGCUGA
Molecule: non-coding RNA, 22 nt
Filed under: Arabidopsis thaliana (thale cress)
Lineage: Eukaryota; Viridiplantae; Streptophyta; Magnoliopsida; Brassicales; Brassicaceae
Source: RNAcentral